This 852-nucleotide ribosomal RNA is filed under the name Armillaria mellea. Its description in RNAcentral is "eukaryotic LSU rRNA". The stretch from base 420 to 573 matches the Rfam family "5.8S ribosomal RNA". The record is from RNAcentral. Lineage: Eukaryota; Fungi; Basidiomycota; Agaricomycetes; Agaricales; Physalacriaceae.
UGAAUCGUAGCGUUGAGAACUUUGCUGACCUGUAAAAGGGUAUGUGCACGUUCUUUGUGUUGCGUUUUAUUGUUUUCCCCCUGUGCACCUUUGUAGACUUGGUUAAGGAUGUCGCUGUUGAGUGGUUAGAAGGGUUGCUCUUGAGCUCCCUUUGGUUUCGAACGGUUGCUUUGUUAGCUUCCUUUGAUUUCGAAUGGUUGCUUUGUUAGCUCCCUUUGAUUUCGAAUGGUUGCUUUGUUAGCUCCCUUUGAUUUCGAACGGUUGCUUUGUUAGCUCCCUUUGAAUUGUUUUCACUCUGAAGUGGUUAGAAGGGGUUGCUCUCGAGCUCCCUUUCUUUGUCUACCAAGUCUAUGUCUAUAAUCUCUUGUAUGUCUAGAAUGUCUUGUUUAUUGGAUGCUUGCGUCCUUUAAAUGUUAUACAACUUUCAACAACGGAUCUCUUGGCUCUCGCAUCGAUGAAGAACGCAGCGAAAUGCGAUAACUAAUGUGAAUUGCAGAAUUCAGUGAAUCAUCGAGUCUUUGAACGCACCUUGCGCCCUUUGGUAUUCCGAAGGGCAUGCCUGUUUGAGUGUCAUUAAAUUCUCAACCUCGCCUUCUUUUACUAGGAGUUGCGAUGGAUUGGAUAUGGGGGCUUGCCGGUCUCUAACGAGAUCAGCUCCUCUGAAAUGCAUUAGCAGAAACCGUUUGACUUUGGCUGCUAGGCUGUGAUAAUAUCUACGCCUUGGUGGUUGAGUCGAGUACACAAGUCCUACAACAAGUAUCCUUACUUGCUCUCUUUGACUUUGUAUAAGGAUUCAGCUUCUAACGGUCCAUUGAGUUGGACAAUUUAUUGACUAUUUGACCUCAAAUCAGG